RNAcentral lists this ribosomal RNA (853 nucleotides) under Cantharellus sp. SCS-2014. Its description in RNAcentral is "eukaryotic LSU rRNA". It matches the Rfam family "Eukaryotic large subunit ribosomal RNA", at positions 87 to 949 of the family's 3401-position model. Lineage: Eukaryota; Fungi; Basidiomycota; Agaricomycetes; Cantharellales; Hydnaceae. The record is from RNAcentral.
CUGCGAGUGAAGAGGGAAGAGCUCAUCAUUGGAAUCUGGCAGCGUUGCGCUGUCCGAGUUGUAGAUGAGAAGAGUAGGUCAUCUGGACUGCGUGGUGUCCAAGUACAAUAGGCCGUCAGUGGGACAUCAUAGAGGGUGACAAUCCCGUCCUUGACAACCAACGUACGAGUCCAUUACGAUGCCUAUCUCAGAGAGUCGAGCAGUUUGGGAUUUGCUGCUUAAACAUGGGAGGUAGAUUCCUUCUAAAGCUAAAUACAGGCAAGAGACCGAUAGAGAACAAGUACCGCAAGGGAAAGAUGAAAUAGAACUCUGUGAAGGGAGUCAAAAAGACGUGAAAUUGUUGCGAGAGAAGCGAUUCAAGUCAGCGUAGCUAGGCCCAUCAAGCUUCUUGCUUUGGACUAGCUUUGCCAGCGGUCUUGUCCUUUUAGAGACUUGACUUUUGACGUGCCCUGUCCGGUCUAACGGGCAGGCCCUUCGGGGCCAGUGGCAUGGCUGGUGGAAUGGCUUGCAAUCGACCCGUCUUGAAACACGGACCAAGGAGUCUAACAUGUGUGCGAGUAUAAGGGUGGCAAACCCGUAUGCGCAAAGAAAGUGAUAGCCUUUUAUGGCUGAGAAUGGCCUGAUGACCAGACAAGCAAUAUUAUGUUCCUCGUACGGUCAUUGCCCAAGUCCCGUGGUCAGAUCCCAUGGACAUGGAGUUAGAGCAUACAUGCUAGGACCCGAAAGAUGGUGAACUAUGCCUGGACAAAGCGAAGCCAAAGGAAACUCUGGUGGAGGCUUGUAGCGAUUCUGACGUGCAAAUCGAUCGUCUGAUCUGGGUAUAGGGGCGAAAGACUAAUCGAACCAUCUCAUA